CACGUAGGGCGCGAGCGUUGUCCGGAAUUAUUGGGCGUAAAGAGCUCGUAGGCGGCCUGUUGCGUCCGCUGUGAAAGCCCGGGGCUUAACCCCGGGUCGGCAGUGGAUACGGGCAGGCUAGAGGUAGGUAGGGGAGAAUGGAAUUCCCGGUGUAGCGGUGAAAUGCGUAGAGAUCAGGAGGAACACCCGUGGCGAAGGCGGCGCCCUGGUCCGUUACUGACGCUGAGACGCGAAAGCGCGGGGAGCGAACGGG
This 253-nucleotide ribosomal RNA is filed under the name uncultured bacterium. RNAcentral's name for it is "partial 16S ribosomal RNA". It matches the Rfam family "Bacterial small subunit ribosomal RNA", at positions 524 to 776 of the family's 1533-position model. The record is from RNAcentral.